This 700-nucleotide ribosomal RNA is filed under the name uncultured bacterium. RNAcentral describes it as "bacterial SSU rRNA". It matches the Rfam family "Bacterial small subunit ribosomal RNA", at positions 42 to 717 of the family's 1533-position model. The record is from RNAcentral.
UCAGGCCUAACACAUGCAAGUCGAGCGGUAGCAGGAAGUGCUUGCACUUCGCUGACGAGCGGCGGACGGGUGCGUAACACGUAGGAAUCUGCCUGGUAGUGGGGGAUAGCCCGGAGAAAUCCGGAUUAAUACCGCAUACGCCCUACGGGGGAAAGGAGGGGACCCGUUUCUUUUAUAAGAAGCGAGCCUUUCGCUAUCAGAUGAGCCUGCGUCGGAUUAGCUUGUUGGUGGGGUAAAGGCCUACCAAGGCGACGAUCCGUAGCUGGUCUGAGAGGAUGAUCAGCCACACUGGGACUGAGACACGGCCCAGACUCCUACGGGAGGCAGCAGUGGGGAAUAUUGCACAAUGGGCGAAGGCCUGAUGCAGCCAUGCCGCGUGUGUGAAGAAGGCCCUAGGGUUGUAAAGCACUUUCAGUGGGGAGGAAAGGUUGAAGGUUAAUACCCUUCAGCUGUGACGUUACCCACAGAAGAAGCACCGGCUAACUCCGUGCCAGCAGCCGCGGUAAUACGGAGGGUGCGAGCGUUAAUCGGAAUUACUGGGCGUAAAGCGUGCGUAGGCGGCCACCUAAGUUGGAUGUGAAAGCCCCGGGCUCAACCUGGGAACUGCAUCCAAAACUGGGUGGCUAGAGUACGGGAGAGGAGUGUGGAAUUUCCUGUGUAGCGGUGAAAUGCGUAGAUAUAGGAAGGAACACCAGUGGCG